RNAcentral lists this long non-coding RNA (370 nucleotides) under Mytilus galloprovincialis (Mediterranean mussel). Lineage: Eukaryota; Metazoa; Mollusca; Bivalvia; Mytilida; Mytilidae. The record is from RNAcentral.
CAGAUUCAAAAUCAUAUCAUUGACAAUUUCUGGACAAGGUGGAAACGUGAAUACCUUACAUCACUUAGAGAACAACAUCGAACUAAAGGAGUGGACAAACAGAACAUUAAUAUUGGAGAGGUAGUUCUAAUACAUGAUGAAACUUCAAGAACAACUUGGAAUGUAGGGAUCAUCGACAAAUUGAUUCAAGGACGAGAUGGGUUUAGCAGAUCAGCUAUUUUACGGACUAAAAAUGGUCAAACGUCUAGACCUAUUAGCAAGUUAUAUCCUCUAGAACUAACAUCUAAUGAAUACACAGGACCGUGUGAUGAAAUACUACCCGCCAGACGAGCGAAGACCGAUGCAAAGGAAAAGAUAAAGAUGUGGACCA